Molecule: long non-coding RNA, 445 nt
Organism: Cyanistes caeruleus (blue tit)
Lineage: Eukaryota; Metazoa; Chordata; Aves; Passeriformes; Paridae
Source: RefSeq, a predicted model, not a curated record
UCCAAACAAAGGCACUCAAACCACUCUGCUCAGAGUCUCUCUGAGUCUCAGAGCCCUCUGCCCACAUGUCUUAUUCCAGCCCUUCAGUCUUUACUCAGACAAAAGUUUUACUUGACCUUGAGGGCAGUUUUGCAGAACAGGAGGCUGCAGAGAGAAUGACAGGUUUGACAUCAUGAUGGACACAUAGGCUCUGGAUAGACAAAAGGCAGGAAAAUGACAACAGGACCAAUUUCUCUGCUCACUAACUUCACAGGAAGUCAAUUUGGGAAACAUUUAUCAGCCUGAAGAUGAGCUGGGGAAGAUCUCACUGGGGAGAGAUGAUGAUGACUUGGCCUCCUGGCAGUCCCUACCAGAACCAUCGUCUGCGCUGUGUAACCAACCAUAUUUUCACUGAACAUCAGAAGUUUCACUCGUAUUUUACUGAACAAAAACUCUGCCUGCAUUA